Molecule: ribosomal RNA, 358 nt
Filed under: uncultured bacterium
Lineage: Bacteria
Description: bacterial SSU rRNA
Rfam family: Bacterial small subunit ribosomal RNA
Source: RNAcentral
GAUGAACGCUGGCGGUCUGCUUAACACAUGCAAGUCGAACGAACUUCUUCGGAGUGAGUGGCGGAACGGGUGAGUAACGCGUGAGAAUCUGCCUGUGGGUCGGGGACAACCCACUGGAAACGGGUGGCUAAUACCGGAUGAGCCGAAAAGGUUAAAAAGACUUUAUUGCCCACAGAUGAGCUCGCGUCUGAUUAGCUAAGUUGGUAAGGUAAAAGCGUACCAAGGCGACGAUCAGUAGCUGGUCUGAGAGGAUGAGCAGCCACACUGGGACUGAGACACGGCCCAGACUCCUACGGAGGCAGCAGUGGGAAUUUUCCGCAAUGGGCGAAAGCCUGACGGAGCAAGACCGCGUGGGGGA